GUAACUGCGAGUGAAGCGGGAAAAGCUCAAAUUUAAAAUCUGGCAGUCUCUGGCUGUCCGAGUUGUAAUCUAGAGAAGUAAUGCCCGUGCUGGACCGUGUAUAAGUCUCCUGGGAUGGGGCGUCAUAGAGGGUGAGAAUCCCGUCUUUGACACGGACUACCAGUGCAUUGUGGUAUGCUCUCAAAGAGUCGAGUUGUUUGGGAAUGCAGCUCAAAAUGGGUGGUAAAUUCCAUCUAAAGCUAAAUAUUGGCGAGAGACCGAUAGCGAACAAGUACCGUGAGGGAAAGAUGAAAAGAACUUUGGAAAGAGAGUUAAACAGUACGUGAAAUUGCUGAAAGGGAAACGCUUGAAGUCAGUCACGUUAGCCGGGGAUCAGCCUUGCUUCUGCUUGGUGUACUUUCUGGUUGACGGGUCAGCAUCAAUUUUGACCACUGGAAAAAGGCCUGGGGAAUGUGGCAGCUUCGGCUGUGUUAUAGCCCCUAGUCGCAUACAGUGGUUGGGAUUGAGGAACUCAGCACGCCGCAAGGCCGGGUUUCGACCACGUUCGUGCUUAGGAUGCUGGCAUAAUGGCUUUAAGCGACCCGUCUUGAAACACGGACCAAGGAGUCUAACAUGCCUGCGAGUAUUUGGGUGGAAAACCCAAGUGCGUAAUGAAAGUGAAAGUUGAGAUCCCUGUCGUGGGGAGCAUCGACGCCCGGACCAGAACUUUUGGGACGGAUCCGCGGUGGAGCAUGUAUGUUGGGACCCGAAAGAUGGUGAACUAUGCCUGAAUAGGGUGAAGCCAGAGGAAACUCUGGUGGAGGCUCGUAGCGAUUCUGACGUGCAAAUCGAUCGUCAAAUUUGGGUAUAGGGGCGAAAGACUAAUCGACCAUCUAGUAGCUGGUUCUGCGAGUUUCCCUCAGGAAA
RNAcentral lists this ribosomal RNA (906 nucleotides) under Agaricus leucocarpus. Its description in RNAcentral is "partial large subunit ribosomal RNA". It matches the Rfam family "Eukaryotic large subunit ribosomal RNA", at positions 83 to 980 of the family's 3401-position model. Lineage: Eukaryota; Fungi; Basidiomycota; Agaricomycetes; Agaricales; Agaricaceae. The record is from RNAcentral.